UACGGGGGGAGCAAGCGUUGUUCGGAUUUACUGGGCGUAAAGGGCGCGUAGGCGGCCACCGCAAGUCGGUUGUGAAAUCUCCGGGCUUAACCCGGAAAGGUCAAUCGAUACUGCGGGGCUAGAGUGCAGAAGGGGCAACUGGAAUUCUCGGUGUAGCGGUGAAAUGCGUAGAUAUCGAGAGGAACACCUGCGGCGAAGACGGGUUGCUGGGCUGACACUGACGCUGAGGCGCGAAAGCUAGGGGAGCGAACGGG
Molecule: ribosomal RNA, 254 nt
Filed under: uncultured bacterium
Lineage: Bacteria
Description: partial 16S ribosomal RNA
Rfam family: Bacterial small subunit ribosomal RNA
Source: RNAcentral